RNAcentral lists this ribosomal RNA (195 nucleotides) under uncultured bacterium. RNAcentral describes it as "partial 16S ribosomal RNA". It matches the Rfam family "Bacterial small subunit ribosomal RNA", at positions 338 to 524 of the family's 1533-position model. The record is from RNAcentral.
CCUACGGGAGGCAGCAGUAGGGAAUCUUCCGCAAUGGACGAAAGUCUGACGGAGCAACGCCGCGUGAGUGAAGAAGGUCUUCGGAUCGUAAAACUCUGUUGUUAGAGAAGAACGUUGUGUAGAGUGGAAAAUUACACAAGUGACGGUAUCUAACCAGAAAGGGACGGCUAACUACGUGCCAGCAGCCGCGGUAAU